GACGAACGCUGGCGGCGUGCUUAACACAUGCAAGUCGAACGGAAAGGCCCUGCUUUUGUGGGGUGCUCGAGUGGCGAACGGGUGAGUAACACGUGAGUAACCUGCCCUUGACUUUGGGAUAACUUCAGGAAACUGGGGCUAAUACCGGAUAGGAGCUCCUGCUGCAUGGUGGGGGUUGGAAAGUUUCGGCGGUUGGGGAUGAACUCGCGGCGGAUCAGCUUGUUGGUGGGGUAGUGGCUUACCAAGGCUUUGACGCUUAGCGGGCCUGAGAGGGUGACCAGACAGACGGGGACGGAGACACGGCCCAGACUCCUACGGGAGGCAGCAGUGGGGAAUAUUGGACGAUGGGCGCAAGACUGAUCCAGCAAGGCCGCGUGAGUGAUGAAGGCCUUAGGGUUGUAAAGCUCUUUUACCCGGGAUGAUAAGGACAGGACCGGGAGAAUAAGCUCCGGCUAACUCCGUG
RNAcentral lists this ribosomal RNA (463 nucleotides) under uncultured bacterium. RNAcentral's name for it is "partial 16S ribosomal RNA". It matches the Rfam family "Bacterial small subunit ribosomal RNA", at positions 28 to 507 of the family's 1533-position model. The record is from RNAcentral.